GGUUAAGCGACUAAGCGUACACGGUGGAUGCCCUGGCAGUCAGAGGCGAUGAAGGACGUGCUAAUCUGCGAUAAGCGCCGGUAAGGUGAUAUGAACCGUUAUAACCGGCGAUUUCCGAAUGGGGAAACCCAGUGUGACUCGUCACACUAUCAUUAACUGAAUCCAUAGGUUAAUGAGGCGAACCGGGGGAACUGAAACAUCUAAGUACCCCGAGGAAAAGAAAUCAACCGAGAUUCCCCCAGUAGCGGCGAGCGAACGGGGAGGAGCCCAGAGCCUGAAUCAGCAUGUGUGUUAGUGGAAGCGUCUGGAAAGGCGCGCGAUACAGGGUGACAGCCCCGUACACAAAAGCGCAUGUGCUGUGAGCUCGAUGAGUAGGGCGGGACACGUGGUAUCCUGUCUGAAUAUGGGGGGACCAUCCUCCAAGGCUAAAUACUCCUGACUGACCGAUAGUGAACCAGUACCGUGAGGGAAAGGCGAAAAGAACCCCGGCGAGGGGAGUGAAAAAGAACCUGAAACCGUGUACGUACAAGCAGUGGGAGCACCC
Molecule: ribosomal RNA, 544 nt
Filed under: Salmonella enterica subsp. enterica serovar Montevideo str. MB102109-0047
Lineage: Bacteria; Pseudomonadati; Pseudomonadota; Gammaproteobacteria; Enterobacterales; Enterobacteriaceae
Description: bacterial LSU rRNA
Rfam family: Bacterial large subunit ribosomal RNA
Source: RNAcentral